This is a long non-coding RNA of Ochlerotatus camptorhynchus, 1760 nucleotides long. RefSeq lists it as uncharacterized. The record is from RefSeq and is a predicted model, not a curated record. The transcript is spliced from 2 exons. NCBI's taxonomy places the organism in Eukaryota, Metazoa, Arthropoda, Insecta, Diptera, Culicidae.
CAUCUUACGCAAGGAGUAGCGCUUCAACCCAGUGUAGAUGAAUUGCGUUUGUUUUGAAAAUCUUCACUGUUACGUACGAGCGAAAUGAACAAAUGAGUUCAUUAUACAUCAACAAAUACGCGUGAUAUUCUCCAGUGCUUGAUUAUCCAACCCAAAGUUGUCAAAAUCAGAAAUGAUCCUUAACAGCAAAAUAAUCAAAUUCAUUUUGGGCAAAAUGAUUAUUUUGAACUUUGUCAACUCCAGAGCCUAAAACCGCGAUUUCAUCAUCAGUUCAACAUGAGGCAAUUAUUUGCCACACGUCCUUCAGUGCUAUAUUUGUGUAAAAUGAAAAUAAUCAUUUUGCAUUUGAUCCUCAAAACCAUCCCCACCAAGAUGAAGACGAAUAUUAAUAUUGACAACAACGGAGGCGAUAAUGAACAUCCAGCCACGAAUGAAGCAAAACAAAUGUUGGCUAAGAUACUCAGAGGUUGCCUUGAUCAAGGGAAUUUUGUUAUGUCAAAAUUCAGAUUCAUGCAAAGUAGUUGGUCUAUCUGUUAAGGUUGUCUUCAUUUUCAGCUAAGUUGAGUGUAGAAGGGAUGAUUUUUAUCAGCACUGCUCGGAAGGUCCCGGAACAGGAGAGAUCGUGAUGGGAGGCAUGCUCAAACGAGGCAUCCACAGGUUUUUUGAACCGUCUACAAAUUCACGGAACAAAAUUCCUUUCGGCCAUGUAUCCGAUGUAAGAGCAACGUAGUUUGGGAGCCAAUCCGACUUUGUACGAGAAGAAGCUCAUACGGCUGAUGUCGGAUCCUUUUUUAACUAGCGGCACAACCUUAAUCGGAUCAUUGCACUGUACACAACCUUUGGCCAGCUUCUUGAUUGGUUCCGUAUUCACGCUAGGAUGUAUACGAGAAAGCACAGCCAAAACAGCUCGGUGGGUUCAGGGACAGUAAGGACCACAGUACAGACAUUGUCAUCCGUUACUGCUUUAGUACCACACCAACAAGUGGUUCGCUGGUGAGCGAGCCUUCAUCGCGGCGCCGUUUUAAUGGCGGUUGACGCAUAAGAUCUCCGGAAUCCAAGUGUGUUGCAGUUGUCAAUGCGAUUCGCUUCGACAGCUGAGCGAUCUGCUGUCCUUGCUUAGCCAGUUUCUUCCUAAGCUCAGCGGGUGCGAUUUUCUGUCUCUCGAUGCGAUGAUAGAAUUAAUCGCACUACCAAACGACGAAACAGCAGUUUUGAACCGAGCACAUUUCAUCAGCUUCGCGCCCUCGUUGCGCAUCCAAAACUAGUGUGGACAAUAUUCAGAAAAGCCUUGUUCAACUUUGUGCCACCGCAUUUCAGGUGCAGGAGACGGAUUCUGGUUUAGCACAUUGGUCACAGGCGGAAGUCAUGCUGACUCAGUUUCCAAAAAUAAUUUAGAAACAGCGGUGGAGAUGCUCUAAUACGCAAGGAGGAGUUGGACUCUGCAGAGCGUCUGAUAUCGACAAUAACACAACAGUAAACACUACAAGAUGUCCGAUUGGAUAACUUUUUCACUGUUUUUACAACACGAAAUAUGCUGCAAAUAGACGAUUAUCGCAACGAACUGCACUUUCCACUAACAACCGGUACAAUUUUGCAAGUCUACACAACGGGAAAAACGAAGAACGAUAGCCCGUGCGAUAACAAAUCAUCAAAUUUAGCAAUGCAAAAUCACGACGAUGUGAAUAACAACAACAAUGCAACAGUGAAAUUAUCGUUUCUCGGUGCGUUUACUGUAGAAACACUGGAAUAAGAGACCAGCG